This is a long non-coding RNA of Anolis carolinensis (green anole), 3191 nucleotides long. The record is from Ensembl. Lineage: Eukaryota; Metazoa; Chordata; Lepidosauria; Squamata; Anolidae.
AUGUUUGGUCAGAAGCAUACCACUGUGAUGCCCCAUGGGCCUCGGAGUCCUGACCCCAGCGCCAUCAUGGAUCAUGAUGAUGAAAACAUGGGAUUUUUGCCGUCUCAGCAAGAGACCGUGCCAUUCCAGAUGCCUGUUGUGGACAAUUCUUGCCAAGAACUCAUUAAAACAGACCUUGAACAAGUUCUUCCCAGCGCUUCUCCCCCCUUCGUGAGACGGGAGUUCUUUGAGGCGAGCCGUUUCCAGAGAGCACAAACAAGGAGAAGCGCGAGAUUAGCAGCCAGACAGGGCGCUAAUUAGCUAGUUUCCCCUGGGAGCUUUCAGGGAGGAACGCAUCUGGAUGAAGAUGUGUUUCGCUUCUUUUUCCCUUGGGAAAAGAAGCUCUGGACACCUGUUUGCAGGAAGAUUUGAAGUUCCUUAAAAGCUUUUCGCACGGGCGAAUCUGUGCGGAGUCACCGUGUCAGUUGAAGGAUUAACUUCGGUUCUAGUUAAGUGUGGACUGCGUUUUGAGUCCGCUAUCUCUAGUCUCUCCGUGCCUUGCCUUGCUGUGUUCUUGACCGGUCACCGUGUUCCCAGCCUUGCAUCUUGUGCCAAGUACCCAGUCUUGUCUUCAGUUCCUGCCUUGGACUUACUUUGAACUCCAGUAAAACUUUGGACACUUUUCCCACUCUAACUGCUUGGAAGUUGAGUGUUUUUCAGUUUUGGCAUUACAACUUUGAACUCUAAUAUUAUAUACUGGACAAUAUAUUUCUGGACUAUAUUUGACCUUCCCUGAAAGGUCUAUUGCUGGACUACAUUCUCUACUUGUUUUUAUCCUACUAUAAUAUUUCCUUAAUAAAGAUAUUAGAUUGUUAUUGGCCUCCGUGUGUUGGUUCUUAGUGCUCCGCUGCCAGGGCGUGACAACCACAGAAUCACACUGGAGGACCUAGAGAGGCCUUUUGGACCAUGAGUAAAUGAAAUUGUGGAUAUUGAGCCCAUGGAUCCGACCUCUUAGCCCAGUGCCACCAGGUUCAUUCUCUAUGAUUCUAUGAUUUUGCAUACUGUCCUUGUGUGGAGGACAUAGUGUAUUGUUUUGCUUCUUCAAAAACAAUGCAUAUCUGUAUGACAAUAGUGGUUGUUGUCCUGGGAAUGAAGAUCUGAAAGGAAGGUUGGAAAUUUAAGACAAAUAUGGAUUAGCUGUAUGAGACUAGCAAUGGAUCAGGUUCCUCUGACCUAAAUGAUGGAAUAUAAACUAUUCCACAUACUCAUGUAUAAGUCUAGAACUUUUAGUCAAAAAAUCAACUGAAAAGACUUGUGUUGACUUAGCCAUCGGUCAAUGUGACUCGUACUGUACCGUAAAUCUUAUCAAGAAGGAAUAUUCUCCCUUCCUGAAUAGAGUGGCAAAGGGUAAGAGGAGAAUGCAAAGAAGCACUGACCCCCCCUCCCUCUCUCUUCACUACAAUGCCACUUCUGGCCUUUCUGAAAGCCAAGGGGAAGGUGGAAGCCAGAGCGUGGAUGCCACCCUCAAGGCAGCAUUAGUGUAUUCCCCUCUCCAUGGACUGGCCAUCAAUUUAUCCAUGAUCAUAUCAAAACAAACAAUUUUGGCCUCAAAAACUGCCUUCAACUUAUACAUGAAACCAAGUUAUAUAUACAUAGAUACGGUAACUGAUGAGUGGAAGUGUGUGGGUGUGAGUACUAUUUUCAAGUUGUAGGAUAAGUUAACGGAGGAAAAAUCCAAUAGUACUGAAGUGAAGAUAACAUCAGAGAGAAGUUCCCCUCGUCCCCAUUUGUAAUCAAAAUAUUUAAAACUAAAACAAUUCUUUAAUUAUACAUGUUUUGAAGAUUUUGGGAGUUUCUUCAGCAAACUGCUGUCAGCUGGACAGCCUUUGAUCUUCAGAGCCAGCUAAACGGCUCCCUUUGAUCACCUAGAGAAUAGCUCAUAAAAGAAACAGGGCUUUUGUUCGGCUUUUCCCUAACUUCAUGGGUAAAUAAGAAGAUGUUUCUGAACUGAGAUGGGAGUGGGCGGUUUUUAAUAAACAGUUCCCCCUUUGAAGUAGGCAUAGUCAAAUUAGCAUAGAGAUGAAGGAUUCUGCCUUUGUGAGAGGGCUCGGGAGAAGCUAGUUUAUAGCCAUCCUAGGUAGAAGACUAUUUGCAAGAGGGGCCAGUGCCCAGGCAAACAGGGGGCUAAUGCCACAGCAUUUGUUGGCUAUAUAUCUUUUGUAUCGUUGCUUAAUUGCUUUCUUUCUGUGCAUGUUGAAGUGAUCUCAUUGAAUCAGUAAUUAUAAAUUACAAGACAUGGAAGCACUCACAGCAUGUGAAUUUAAAGGGGAAAAUGCAAGUAAAUAGGGACAUCCUGAUGCUUCGUACACUUAGAAUCAGCAUGUGGAAAGUGCAGAACUUGGACCUUUAGGUCUGAAAUUAAUGUACUUGUGUUAAAUGUACCAUUGUUGAGUCAUAUGGGGAAAAUUUUGUUAUUGACACUUUCAAAAGUUCUGUUUUUGUCAUUUUAAAGUUGCCUUUGUCCAACUGUUGUUUUUAAAACUCCAAGAUGGACUACAAAGCAAAGACUACAGUUGUUGCCUAAGAAAAGUCACAGCCAGCCCAUCAGAACAUUGUCAGGUUGCAAAAAGCUGAGGUCUCAUCUUACAAUCUGUUCAGUUCAGUUGUGUCACUGACGUCUAUCUCUCUUCUUUUCUUUUUUUAUCUCUUCUGAGUUUCACUAACAUGUACAACAUUUUCCCUUCAAAAGUCUGGUUAAGUAAUAGUUAACGAAUUAUGGCAAAGGUUAGUGGGAAGCUGCAAGCAUUGUACCUUUGUUUUAAGCUUUGUCAGACAGGUAUUUAUAACUAUAAAUAAUGCUAACGUUAUCAUUGAACAUCACCUGGGAAUUUUGGAAAGGAGAGAAGCAUGUUACAACUGGUCUAGAGAAAUGGUAUUUGGACAUGGUCAAGUGUUUGAAAUUUUAUUUAUCCUUUUUUGUCAGAUGUUCUCUUAAUUCAAGGAACUCAUCCCAUUUGGAUAACCCAGAACCUCAACCAGCAGCUGAGACCGGAUGAGAAACUCCCCUCUGGGCACCCAGAAGACUGGGUGACUUGGAAGGUGCUGAACAGACUUCGCUCUGGCACCACAAGAUGCAGAGCCAAUCUAAAGAAAUGGGGCUACAAAGUGGAGUCCACGGCAUGCAAGUGUGGAAAAGAGCAAACCACAGACCA